AUACAUGCAAGUCGAACGAAGUGCAAUACUUAGUGGCAGACGGGUGAGUAACAUGUAGGUAUCUUCCCUUUGGUGAGGAAUACCACGAGGAAACUUGUGCUAAUACCUCAUAAGUCUUUACGGAGAAAGCUUUAUGCGCCGAAGGAUGAGCCUGCACUUGAUUAGUUGUUGGUGGGGUAAUGGCCUACCAAGACUUUGAUCUAUAGCUGAUCUGAGAGGAUGAUCAGCCACAUUGGGACUGAGACACGGCCCAAACUCUUACGGGAGGCAGCAGUAGGGAAUAUUGCACAAUGGAGGAAACUCUGAUGCAGCGAUGCCGCGUGAGUGAAGAAGGCCUUUGGGUUGUAAAGCUCUUUCGUCGGGGAAGAAAUGACUGUCCCCGAAUAAGAAGGUCC
This 395-nucleotide ribosomal RNA is filed under the name uncultured bacterium. Its description in RNAcentral is "bacterial SSU rRNA". It matches the Rfam family "Bacterial small subunit ribosomal RNA", at positions 51 to 494 of the family's 1533-position model. The record is from RNAcentral.